ACCGGGAACCCGGCCAAUACCGCAUACGUCCUACGGGAGAAAGCGGGCCUCUACACUAUGCUCGCACUCGAGGAUGAGCCCACGUCCGAUUAGCUAGUUGGUAGGGUAACGGCCUACCAAGGCCACGAUCGGUAGCUGGUCUGAGAGGAUGAUCAGCCACACUGGGACUGAGACACGGCCCAGACUCCUACGGGAGGCAGCAGUGGGGAAUAUUGGACAAUGGGCGCAAGCCUGAUCCAGCAAUGCCGCGUGUGUGAAGAAGGCCUGCGGGUUGUAAAGCACUUUCAGUGGGGAAGAACGGAUACGGGCCAAUACCCCGCAUCACUGACGUUACCCACAGAAGAAGCACCGGCUAACUCCGUG
Molecule: ribosomal RNA, 363 nt
Filed under: uncultured bacterium
Lineage: Bacteria
Description: bacterial SSU rRNA
Rfam family: Bacterial small subunit ribosomal RNA
Source: RNAcentral